AAAAGGCUGCAUUUUUUAAGAGAGGUGAAGAAUCCAUCAAAGGCAGUCCCAAAGUGGGAGACAUUUCGAGGGAGGCAUUUACUUCUCAUCCGUGUGUAACACUAAGGGAUCCAAUGGAGUACGAAGAUAUACUUGACCGAUCGACAGAAGUAGAGAGAGGCACGGAGCAGAGGAUAUAGAUCCGGGAGACCUUUCAAAUAGUUCAUUAGAAGAAGAGAUGCAGGAUUCAUUUGAAAGAGUUAGCGCCUCCGUAUCGUUACUGGAAGGAGCAAUAAUGUAACAGCCCCACUUUCCCCUAAGGCGAACCAAAGGAGUUAGCGGACUGCCUGCCCAACUCUUGC
This 341-nucleotide long non-coding RNA is filed under the name Coffea arabica (coffee). Its description in RNAcentral is "long non-coding RNA (CARA_LNC008226)". The record is from RNAcentral. Lineage: Eukaryota; Viridiplantae; Streptophyta; Magnoliopsida; Gentianales; Rubiaceae.